UCUCUCUCUCUCUCUCUCUCUCUCUCCCACCGUUUUCUUUUUUUUCUUUCUUCCCUUGUUUUUGCGCCGAAAACCCCAGAUCUGGUCCUCUCUCUCAAUCUCUCUGACUCUGUCACCGACGGCAUUUUUUGGCCACUCAACGUCUCUCUUCACUCAGUGUCUUCUCGUCACUCUCUCACAGUCUCACCUCUCUCCGGUCUCGCUGGUUGUGAAUGUGUAAUUUGGAAGAAAGAAAUUGAAAAGAGAAUUUAAGAAAGGCAAACUAUGGGAUUACCUCUAUUGAGAGGAAGUCGUGGGCACCGAUUAGGACAAGAAAUUUGUGCCAAAUUACUCGAACAGCAGCCAUUUACGAGAUGGUUGAGUUGUUGAUGAUCUUCAAGAAAGUUGGAGGCUGAUGGGAUAGUAAAGACCUCUUGAUGACAUUGUUAUUAUACCAAAUAGAAAUCUGUUGUGAUGUCUCUUCUCUGGUUAUUGUCGUAACUGUUCGUGAUUGUACUUUCUUGUCAGAUUGUACUUUCUGUAUUUGUUAAGCUCUCUUCCAGCCAAAGGAUUGUGUUGCUUAAUUACAACAAAGACACUAAGCAAAUUGAUUUUCGACAUUAUUCGAUAAGAUUACAACCAGUAGGUGUUUCACGCAGAAUAAGAAAAUUUGUGCAGAACCAUCAGGUGCCAGAUCUAAGGAAUCUUCAAGAUGUGAGUGAUUUCGUGACAAAGGAAGUCCCUUGCUUAUCUACUUAAACCUUCGUUUUCCCAUUUGGAGAAUGGAUAUAAUCCAUUUCUAACAUUUCCACUCAUUAUUUCCUUCUUCAAACUGAGCUGGCUAUGGAUCAGAAAGUGAGGCAGAGGAAGAAGCUGCAACUGUAACUUUGUCUAGCGAUGUUGGUAGGGUUAACCGUGCUUCGAAAGCUUCAAGAAAUUGGUCCCAGGAUGACUCUUCAACUAGUUAAAGUUGAAAAGGGACUUCGUUCAGGAGAAGUCCUUUUCAGUGAAUAUGGGAAACCUGGUGACAAAGGAAAACAUGAUUAUGAAGAUAAUGAGAUGCAGGACAAUGAAGAUGAAGAUGAUUCAAAAGGUAGUGAAGAUCAAGAUGGCAAUGGUUCUGAAGUUGAUGAAGAUGAAGGCCAUGAAGAACUUGAUUAAGGGAAAUGGUGAUAUUCAGUUUUCGUGUUCUGAAAGUUAUGAAUUAAUUAAUGAUUAGAAAGUUGCCACCAGAAAAUUUUCAUUAACCAUUCUAGUGGCCUCAUAUAAAAUUUUGUUUGGGUUAUAUAUAAAUUUUGUUUGAAGCAGUUAAGUUCAUAUAUAGUUAGAGUAACAAAAACCGGUUUUAACU
Arachis ipaensis is the source of this 1330-nucleotide non-coding RNA. The record is from RefSeq and is a predicted model, not a curated record. Lineage: Eukaryota; Viridiplantae; Streptophyta; Magnoliopsida; Fabales; Fabaceae.